This 1324-nucleotide ribosomal RNA is filed under the name metagenome. Its description in RNAcentral is "bacterial LSU rRNA". It matches the Rfam family "Bacterial large subunit ribosomal RNA", at positions 1561 to 2925 of the family's 2925-position model. The record is from RNAcentral.
AGUGGAUGGGGAGCAACCUAGUUGUACGUGUGUAAAGGUAGUGCCAAGAAAAGCGGUGAUCAUGAUGAAAAUCAAUUCCCGGUACCCGAAACCGACACAGGUGGGCAAGUAGAGAAGACUAAGGGGCGCGAGGUAACUCUCUCCAAGGAACUCGGCAAAUGACCCCGUAACUUAGGGAGAAGGGGUGCCACCGAGAGGUGGUCGCAGUGAAGAGGCCCAGGCGACUGUUUAGCAAAAACAUAGGUCUCUGCAAACUCGAAAGAGGAGGUAUAGGGGCUGACGCCUGCCCAGUGCCGGAAGGUUAAAGAAGUUGGUCAGUCUUAGGAUGAAGCUAGCGACUGAAGCCCCGGUGAACGGCGGCCGUAACUAUAACGGUCCUAAGGUAGCGAAAUUCCUUGUCGGGUAGGUUCCGACCCGCACGAAAGGCGUAACGAUCUGGGCGCUGUCUCGGAGAGAGGCUCGGCGAAAUAGGAUUGUCUGUGAAGAUACGGACUACCUGCAUUUGGACAGAAAGACCCUAUGAAGCUUUACUAUAGCUUGGAAUUGUGUUCGGGCUUCCUGUGCGCAGGAUAGGUGGGAGGCGUAGAAGGUAUUCUUGUGGGGAUACUGGAGCCAACGGUGAGAUACCACUCUCAGGAGGCUAGAAUUCUAACUUAAUUAAGGACAGUUUCAGGUGGGUAGUUUGACUGGGGCGGUCGCCUCCAAAAAGGUAACGGAGGCGUACAAAGGUUCCCUCAGACUGGUUGGAAAUCAGUCGAAGAGUGCAAAGGCAGAAGGGAGCUUGACUGCGAGAAGUACAGUUCGAGCAGGGUGGAAACACGGUCUUAGUGAUCCGACGGUGCUGUGUGGAAGGGCCGUCGCUCAACGGAUAAAAGUUACUCUAGGAUAACAGGCUGGUCUCCCCCAAGAGUUCACAUCGACGGGGAGGUUUGGCACCUCGAUGUCGGCUCAUCGCAACCUGGGGCGGAAGUACGUCCCAAGGGUUGGGCUGUUCGCCCAUUAAAGCGGUACGUGAGCUGGGUUCAGAACGUCGUGAGACAGUUCGGUCCAUAUCCGAUGUAGGCGUGAGAAUAUUGAGAGGAGCCUUCCUUAGUACGAGAGGACCGGGAAGGACGCACCGCUGGUGUACCUGUUAUGAUGCCAAUUGUAAACGCAGGGUAGCCAAGUGCGGAGAGGAUAACCGCUGAAAGCAUCUAAGUGGGAAGCCCACCUCAAGAUGAGUAUUCUGGUGUAAGGUCACGGGAAGACGACCCGUAAAUAGGCACGAGGUGGAAGUGCAGAGAUGUAUGAAGCCAAAGUGCACUAAUAGACCGUCGGCUUGACC